AACGCACAUUGCACUGUUUGGAACUCCAGGCAGUAUGUCUGUUUGAGUAUCAGUAAACACCCUCAAACCUUACGGUGUCCUAGUGGCACUUGUAGGUUUGGACUUGAGCUCGUUAAGCCUCUUUGCUGGGGCUUAUGGCUUGAAAUGAAGGUGCUGGCUGGGUACGCCCACGAAGCUGACAGAGCUAGUCUGUUACAGGACGCGACUGUCUGGCUGAGGUGGAUCCGGCUGCCUAACUUGAUACUGCUCUCCUCGUGGGAGCUUUACUGUUGAUCUCAAAUCAGACAAGAGUACCCGCUGAACUUAA
RNAcentral lists this unclassified non-coding RNA (307 nucleotides) under uncultured fungus. RNAcentral describes it as "partial contains 5.8S rRNA and ITS2". Lineage: Eukaryota; Fungi. The record is from RNAcentral.